AGUCGAACGGCAGCACGGACUUCGGUCUGGUGGCGAGUGGCGAACGGGUGAGUAAUGUAUCGGAACGUGCCACGAAGAAGCGGGGGAUAACUACGCGAAAGCGUAGCUAAUACUGCAUACGCCCUUCGGGGGAAAGCGGGGACCUUCGGGCCUCGCACUAUUAGAGCGGCCGAUAUCGGAUUAGCUAGUUGGUGGGUAACGGCUCACCAAGGCGACGAUCCGUAGCUGGUUUGAGAGGACGACCAGCCACACUGGGACUGAGACACGGCCCAGACUCCUACGGGAGGUGGGGAAUUUUGGACAAUGGGGGAAACCCUGAUCCAGCCAUCCCGCGUGUGCGAUGAAGGCCUCGGGUUGUAAAGCACUUUUGGCAGGAAAGAAACGGCACGGGAUAAUACCCCGUGCAACUGACGGUACCUGCAGAAUAAGCACCGGCUAACUACGUGCCAGCAGCCGCGGUAAUACGUAGGGUGCAAGCGUUAAUCGGAAUUACUGGGCGUAAGCGUGCGCAGGCGGUUCGGAA
RNAcentral lists this unclassified non-coding RNA (523 nucleotides) under uncultured Bordetella sp. RNAcentral's name for it is "partial 16S-23S ribosomal RNA intergenic spacer". It matches the Rfam family "Bacterial small subunit ribosomal RNA", at positions 60 to 585 of the family's 1533-position model. The record is from RNAcentral. Lineage: Bacteria; Pseudomonadati; Pseudomonadota; Betaproteobacteria; Burkholderiales; Alcaligenaceae.